RNAcentral lists this long non-coding RNA (3534 nucleotides) under Nicotiana tabacum (common tobacco). RNAcentral's name for it is "long non-coding RNA (NTAB_LNC005688)". Lineage: Eukaryota; Viridiplantae; Streptophyta; Magnoliopsida; Solanales; Solanaceae. The record is from RNAcentral.
AAAAUAACAGAAUAAAACUAGCCAAAACUAUAGGAAGAUAUCAAAUGAAACAUUUAAGAUGCCACUCAGCAUAUACAAUACAAAUUUAAGUUUUUGAAUGUCUAUAAGUAUCUAACUCCAGAGUGUCUAAAUAAAAGAAGAUACAUAAGGGCUAAUACUUAAAGAGAGAAUAGAAAGGGACUUCUCGGUCUGCGGACGCGACAGAUAUACCUCGAAGUCUCUGGGAGAGUCGCCUCGCCUCAAGGGUGAUAAGACUGAGCCGAAGUACCUGGAUCUGCACAUGAAAAAUAUGCGCAAAAUGGACAUGAGUACACCACAACGGUACUCAGUAAGUGCCAAGCCUAACCUCGGUCGGAUAGUGAUGAGAAAAGUCAGGGCCCUACUGAGGUUAAAUAAAAUACAAGGUAUAACAGUAUAGAAUAAGAUAGUAUAAUUAAGUACGACAGUAAUAAGUAACACAGGAUUGAAAGAACAAUAACAAUUAUAACAGAGACAAGAUAAUCAUGGAAAGAAAUACAUCUCAAAGCGGAGAUAACAACCGGGGAUCUCUCGGUAUCCCGAGGAUCUCUUGGUAUCCUCAAUAUGUGUGCCGGGGAUCUAUCAGCAUCCCGAGGAUCUCUUGGUAUACUCAAUAUAUGUGUUGGGGAUCUCUCGAUAUCCCGAGGAUCUCUUGGUAUCCUCAAUUUGUGUGUCGCGGAUCUCUCAGUAUCCCGAGGGUCUCUUAAUAUCCUCAAUAUAUAUGUUGGGGAUCUCUUGGUAUCCCGAAGAUCUCUUGGUAUCCUCAAUAUGUCCUGGGGAUCUCAUGGUAUCCUGCACUACAGUCCAAAUCAAUAUAUAUAUAUGUGUAGGGGAUUGUCACACCUCUUUUUUCUACCCCGGAGGGGAGUAUAGGGGAGUUUUUCCAAUUUAAGUGACAAUUGAAAUGAGAUUGUUUAAUUUAGAAAUUAUAGUCGCCACUUGGGAUGAUUUAUGGUGUCCCAAGUCACCGAUUUUAUUCCCCAAUCGAGGAAGUUUGACUCUGUUUUACAGUCCUCAAAGCACAGAAAUCCGGGUAAGGAAUUCUGCUAACCCGAGAGAAGGUGUUAGGCAUUCCCGGGUUCCGUGGAUUUAGCACGGUCACUCAACUUUUAAUAUUGGCCUAUUUAUUUGAUUUGAAAACAUCCUUAAAACCUAUGUACAUUUUUAUUCCCUUUAAAAAAAAUCACUUUUAAUAAUCCGAUUGUUAUACAACUAAUUAUUUGAUUAAUAUUGCGAAUCAUGUCAGGGGAACCGUACACAUGAUUCACAACAUGUUUAUUUUAUUAACAAGAUUAAAUUGUGGCCGGGUCACAUAAAUAUACCCUGAAUUUUAGAAAUUAAGUGUCACAAUCACGUCACGGGAACCGUACCCGUAGCUACGACAAUUUAUUUAAUUAAUGUGCCUAAGCAAUCUACGAGAUUUCAAGGCAUUUUCUACACUAAUUAAGAUAUCGAUGUGAGGGCCAUAAACUAGGUGAUUGUAUGUCACGCCUCAAUUUUGAGAAAAACAUUCAACUAAGUGGACUACGGAUAUUCAUAUUUAAAACUAAUUUGAAACUAAGUGUCACAACUACGUCAUGGGAACCAUACCCGUAGUUGUGAUGAUUUAAUUACAUGCCUAACACAAAUUAGGCUGUUGAAGGUUUUAACGGCCUAAGCAUACCCCUAGCUAAAAUCAAAAUGAAUUUGGAGGCUCAGGUUGGGAAAAUGCAAGUGAAACAAAGAAACCAGUGGCAAAGAAUAAGGAGAAAUCGACAGAACCAAAAGCUAAGAGGGAAAAGAAAGCAAAGAAUCCAAAUACGCCAAAACGUCCUCCCACUGAUUUCUUUGUGUUCAUGGAUUAACAUGGUAACUAUGCUCAACUAUAUCAUCUUCUACCAUAAAUCCUUAACGUGGGAUGAGAUGAACCUUUUAAACAUUCAUUCAUAUGCUUAAACCAACAGAAGGAACAAAAAAAUUGCACCAAAACAUGUUGUUUGUCUACUGAAAUAUUUUUCAUGGAUUAGAGAAGAUUCAACACAAAGUGACUAGGAUUAGAGAUCUACACUUUCACCCUCAGCCAAACAAAUCAAGACUUCUAAAAAACUGGCAACCAAAUAAACGAGUAAACUCUUAUAAAUAUAAAAAAUCUAUGAAAUUAAAGCAUCUGAUGCUUGAAAUGGUCAUGGACUCUGACAACGAUGUGUCGAUCUUCAAGCAAAUAGUCUGUUCCAUUCGAAAAUGAAACAAGUUCUGUAGAUACAAGUGAAGUUUCCUAGACACCCCCAUGCUUCAAAUGAUUAAAGGCAAUGUCUGCUUUCAACAGCCAUCGAUAUUUAUCAAUUAGAUGAAGAUUCGCAAUAGAAAUAUGAAUCCAAACGUCAGAAUCAAAGGAUGGAAGAAUCUGGACAUUACGCACAAUAUCCAAAAUAAUUUUAACGAGUUAAACUAAUUUCACAGUUGAUACUAACAUGUAGACAUUCUAUGACUAAAAUCAGCACUAAUCCAGAAGAUAGAAUACAGAGACAAAUUAAUCAGAAACUCGACUAAAGAUGCGACAAAUUUAGGUCGAGAAGGUAGAGUUCUCAAAUGUGAUUAUCAGUCAGCAAAGAAAGAAAUCAGUACAAGAAACCAGCCAGACUUGUUUCCAGUUAUAGAAAAGGCCAUUCUUAGAAUUCGAACUAUAGAUAAUCAAAUAGUGACUGCAAACCACUACCAAUAAUAACCAAAUUAGUUGAAUUCCAUUCAUUAAUCUAACAAGCCAACACUUUAAUCUAAGGAAACAGGCUUUAAACCAUUUAUGAACCGAUUGCACCCAAGCUUUCAUUAUUUUUUAAAUCAAACACCAAUGAAAAUAGGUAGGAAUAAAGAAAAGAACCUGAAUGAGAGUUUUUAAUUAUUUAUGUUCGGAAGUUAUUACAAACAAAUCUGGCGCUGGGAUUCAGUCUUCAAACAGCAAAUGAGCAAAAUACAGCAAUGAAAACGGAUUCGAAUUCACGAACUUAAACCUUACCAGCACUUCAAAAACCUCUAUUAACCUCUAUGUUUUUUAGCCCCAAAUCCGAGUGAAAACUCAAAUAUUUUUGUAUGUUAAAAAAAACUAAGAGAAGAAAACGUUUUUUUCAAACCUAAGAAAAAUCCUUUUUCUGAAUUUCCCUAAGAUAUUUUAACCAAAAAAAAUUUCUCCCCUUUUUGCCAAGAAAUCCUUACCUUAUAUACAAACCUCUAAAAUUCUCCAAAAAUCCGAAAAUCCAAUCCGUUUGUAAAUGAUUUUAGGGACAAAUGGAAGACGUGGAUUGAUUUCCAUUCAUCCACUGUCCCCAUUCAUCCAACAAAUCAUUCCAGAAUUCAAAAUAUAACGUGCAAAUUCAGAGGAAAUAUUCUUGUUUUGUCAGAAAUCCAUUAGGAUUAGAGUGACGUGGAGAGAAGGGACCCGUGUGAGUGAACUCGCCUGAGUUUCAGGCAAGUCAGGGCUGGGUUUGGACGAGGGAGAAGAUUAAAAGUGCAUCGCCGCUUUUGUCUUCUUAGGUUUAGGGU